RNAcentral lists this ribosomal RNA (468 nucleotides) under uncultured bacterium. Its description in RNAcentral is "partial 16S ribosomal RNA". It matches the Rfam family "Bacterial small subunit ribosomal RNA", at positions 28 to 507 of the family's 1533-position model. The record is from RNAcentral.
GACGAACGCUGGCGGCGUGCUUAACACAUGCAAGUCGAACGGAAAGGCCCUGCUUUUGUGGGGUGCUCGAGUGGCGAACGGGUGAGUAACACGUGAGUAACCUGCCCUUGACUUUGGGAUAACUUCAGGAAACUGGGGCUAAUACCGGAUAGGAGCUCCUGCGCCAGGGUGGGGGUUGGAAAGUUUCGGCGGUUGGGGAUGGACUCGCGGCUUAUCAGCUUGUUGGUGGGGUAGUGGCUUACCAAGGCUUUGACGGGUAGCCGGCCUUGGAGGGGGACCGGCCACAUUGGGCCUGCGAUACGGCCCAGAAUCCUACGGGAGGCAGCAGUGGGGAAUAUUGCACAAUGGGCGGAAGCCUGAUGCAGCAACGCCGCGUGCGGAAUGACGGCCUUCGGGUUGUAAACCGCUUUCGCCUGUGACGAAGCGUGAGUGACGGUAAUGGGUAAAGAAGCACCGGCUAACUACGUG